GGACCCGCACAAGCAGUGGAGCAUGUGGUUUAAUUCGAAGAUACGCGCAGAACCUUACCAACGCUUGACAUGUUCGUCGCGAGACUAAGAGAUUAGUCUCUUCAGUUCGGCUGGACGAAACACAGGUGCUGCAUGGCUGUCGUCAGCUCGUGUCGUGAGAUGUUCGGUUAAGUCCGGCAACGAGCGCAACCCACAUCCCUAGUUGCCAGCAGUUCGGCUGGGCACUCUAUGGAAACUGCCCGUGAUAAGCGGGAGGAAGGUGUGGAUGACGUCAAGUCCUCAUGGCCCUUACGGGUUGGGCUACACACGUGCUACAAUGGUGGUGACAAUGGGUUAAUCCCAAAAAGCCAUCUCAGUUCGGAUUGGGGUCUGCAACUCGACCCCAUGAAGUCGGAAUCGCUAGUAAUCGC
This 410-nucleotide ribosomal RNA is filed under the name uncultured bacterium. RNAcentral describes it as "bacterial SSU rRNA". It matches the Rfam family "Bacterial small subunit ribosomal RNA", at positions 917 to 1345 of the family's 1533-position model. The record is from RNAcentral.